UAUCAUUCAAACACCUAAAGCUCCCUAAACAGACACACCUUCUCUCUCUAGACUCUACACCGUCUCUCUCGUUCUCUCUAAACAAGCGAUUCCCCAAAUUAAAUCACUGUAAUAUAAGAGGUUUAAGGAGAUUAGAAUGAUGUAAGACGGUCAUAUCCGUUAACGAUUCUCCCAAAUCCUUUAGCUUUUAUGUAAGGAGAUCAGACUUCAACUCGUUUAAGGUAAUGUGUUUGAAUUCGUCUAUAAAUAGCCCUUUUCUGAUAAAUACUCACUUCAAUACGUCUCCGGUUUCAAGUCGUUCGUGUAAUUCCUUCCAAAAUGCCGUUAAUUUCACUGAUUUAAUGCGUGCAUGUGUGUGUAUUGGAUGGAUAUCAGUUUAAACCACUGAUUUUAGCUGUGAAUUUCACUAAUUUAGGUUUUGAUUUCGCUGUUUUAGCCAUUGAUUUCAUUGAUUUUAGGCGUGCAUCUGUGUGUAUUGGACGAAGAUCAGUUUAAAUCACUGAUUUUAGUUGUCGAUUCACUGCUUAAGCCCAUCAAUUUCACCGUUUGGCAAUCAAUUUUAUUGAUUCGGCUGUCGAUUUCACUGUUUUAGCUGUCAAUUUCUGCUAAUAGUUUUUUUUCCGUUUAUUUUUGUGUCAAGUUUUGUUACUUUUCUAUUCAAUUAAGUUUGUGUUUGUUUAAAUUUUGACAUUUUUUAUUUUUUUUUCUGCUAAUAUUAACCUAAAUAUCAUUUAUUGCCUUGAUAGGUAGCUAAGGAAUCUAAAACAGCUGGUAAAACUAUUGGGAUCGACAUCAACAAAAUCAUAUUUGAUAGGUAUAGCUCUUGUUAGUUAACUUUAUCCUUUCUUUUGAGCAGAUGUAAUAUAUUCUGAAUUCAUAAUUGUUGAAAAUCAAAGCUUAUUGAUUCUUUUAUUCCUUGCUACACUUGAUUGUCAUGAGCUUAGAGGACAGGGCCGAUAUGUUUUUGCAUUGUUUUUCAGUUAUACCAUGCUCAGUGCUCAAUCUCCCCGUGAGUUUCAGCUGCCAACACAUAAGAACAGAAUAAAUAGUAGAAAAAUCUUAUGUGUGAUAUACUUUGAACAGUUAUCUAGUGUAACAUAUGUUAUUAAACUUCUCCUCUAGUUUUCACUCGUCUGUUGAGUUGGUUUUGACAUAUCAAUUGUAUUUAUAUGUAUGGUUGUAUGAAGUACAGAAUGGGCAAAAUCCUAGUUGAAUCAUAAAACAUUUAAAAUGUUCACAACAAAUUUCUGGUUGAUAAGUUUCAGGUUCAGGAAUGAUAAAAUCUGCAUACUCUAGUCUUUGAAUGUUUCAAGCAUUCUCGAACAAUAAGAGGUUUUUAGUGCUAACAGUUAUCACCUGGAUUGGAAAGUAUUCCAACCCGCCUGACUUUUCUAAGAUAUGCUUUUCAUUUUAUUUGGUUUGAAUUCUAUAAAACUGGUGAAAGAGGAUAGACUUGGUGUUCAUUUAAGAUGUCCUCCAAUUUUGGCGGAGGAUAUUGUAGACAUGUGAUUUUUGACCCUCCCCAAUAUUUUUUAUAUUUUAGCUUGUUAAUAUUUAAUUUAGGCCUAAUAUCGC
This 1575-nucleotide long non-coding RNA is filed under the name Nicotiana tabacum (common tobacco). Its description in RNAcentral is "long non-coding RNA (NTAB_LNC003701)". The record is from RNAcentral. Lineage: Eukaryota; Viridiplantae; Streptophyta; Magnoliopsida; Solanales; Solanaceae.